UGGGGAAUAUUGCGCAAUGGGCGCAAGCCUGAUCCAGCCAUGCCGCGUGUGUGAAGAAGGCCUUUUGGUUGUAAAGCACUUUAAGCGAGGAGGAGGCUACUUGGAUUAAUACUCUAGGAUAGUGGACGUUACUCGCAGAAUAAGCACCGGCUAACUCUGUGCCAGCAGCCGCGGUAAUACAGAGGGUGCGAGCGUUAAUCGGAUUUACUGGGCGUAAAGCGUGCGUAGGCGGCUUCUUAAGUCGGAUGUGAAAUCCCUGAGCUUAACUUAGGAAUUGCAUUCGAUACUGGGAAGCUAGAGUAUGGGAGAGGAUGGUAGAAUUCCAGGUGUAGCGGUGAAAUGCGUAGAGAUCUGGAGGAAUACCGAUGGCGAAGGCAGCCAUCUGGCCUAAUACUGACGCUGAGGUACGAAAGCAUGGGGAGCAAACAGG
RNAcentral lists this ribosomal RNA (430 nucleotides) under Fusobacteriota bacterium. RNAcentral's name for it is "Fusobacteria bacterium partial 16S ribosomal RNA". It matches the Rfam family "Bacterial small subunit ribosomal RNA", at positions 355 to 776 of the family's 1533-position model. The record is from RNAcentral. Lineage: Bacteria; Fusobacteriati; Fusobacteriota.